Molecule: ribosomal RNA, 469 nt
Filed under: uncultured bacterium
Lineage: Bacteria
Description: partial 16S ribosomal RNA
Rfam family: Bacterial small subunit ribosomal RNA
Source: RNAcentral
GACGAACGCUGGCGGCGUGCUUAACACAUGCAAGUCGAACGGAAAGGCCCUGCUUUUGUGGGGUGCUCGAGUGGCGAACGGGUGAGUAACACGUGAGUAACCUGCCCUUGACUUUGGGAUAACUUCAGGAAACUGGGGCUAAUACCGGAUAGGAGCUCCUGCUGCAUGGUGGGGGUUGGAAAGUUUCGGCGGUUGGGGAUGGGCUCGCGGCUUAUCAGCUUGUUGGUGGGGUAGUGGCUUACCAAGGCUUUGACGGGUAGCCGGCCUGAGAGGGUGACCGGCGCUGCGGGGAACGAGAGAAGGCCCAGGCGCCGACGGGAGGGAGAAGGGGGGAAUAGGGAACAAGGGGCGGAAGGCGGGUGCGGAACGGCCGCGGGGGGGAGAAAGGGGUGAUGGUUGAAGAACGGAUGAGCACAGGACGAGGCUGUGUGUGACGGUAGUGGGUAAAGAAGCACCGGCUAACGACGUG